This 507-nucleotide ribosomal RNA is filed under the name uncultured bacterium. RNAcentral describes it as "partial 16S ribosomal RNA". It matches the Rfam family "Bacterial small subunit ribosomal RNA", at positions 28 to 507 of the family's 1533-position model. The record is from RNAcentral.
GACGAACGCUGGCGGCGUGCCUAAUACAUGCAAGUCGAACGCAUUUUCUUUCACCGUAGCUUGCUACACCGAAAGAAAAUGAGUGGCGAACGGGUGAGUAACACGUGGGUAACCUGCCCAUCAGCGGGGGGUAACACUUGGAAACAGGUGCUAAUACCGCAUAAUUCCAUUUUCCGCAUGGUAAAAGGAUGAAAGGCGCUUUUGCGUCACUGAUGGAUGGGCCCGCGGUGCAUUAGCUAGUUGGUGGGGUAACGGCCUACCAAGGCUGCGAUGCAUAGCCGACCUGAGAGGGUGGUCGGCCACACUGGGACUGAGACACGGCCCAGACUCCUACGGGAAGCAGCAGUAGGGAAUCUUCGGCAAUGGGCGCAAGUCUUACCGAGCAACGCCGCGUGAGUGAAGAAGGUUUUCGGAUCGUAAAACUCUGUUGUUAGAGAAGAACAAGGAUGAGAGUGGAAAGUUCAUCCCUUGACGGUAGCUAACCAGAAAGCCACGGCUAACUACGUG